AAAUAGAACUUUGCAGAGAGAGUUAACAGGGCGUGAAACCGUUAAUUGGCAAACGAAUCGGAGCCACGAAGUCGUUUCGAUGUUAGUUGAGCCAAGUUCAGUUUAGGAGCAAAACUCUUGGGCGUAUUCUUGGUUUAACCAUUGUAAGCGUACACUGCAACCAGUUAGACAGUUAAAGAUGGAACCAGUUGAUAUAUUCUUUCGGGAGUAUGUUAGCGAAAAAUUUGUUUAUUAGAGUUAGUAGUAGUGGGCUAUCUUUCGGGGUAUGUCUGUUGCUGGGCUUUAGUAAGUGAACUAUCUUUAAGUACUGACUGGCACAUUGAUAAUCACUAGCAAUAGUGUUUUAUACAAUGCGGUUAGCUAUACUAGUGUCUACAUAGGCAACCAUGGGGUUUUAAGCUCGACAUCUUUGAAUUUGGACUGGCCAUCUACUAAAGGGCAACUUUUGGUGUUGGUUUAGCUUCCAUCUAAUCGGGUGUUGACUUGAUUCUAUGUUGUUUGUUUAUGAAACGAUUGGAUGUUAGUAUAAGUUAAUUCGCCAUUGAUUGGCAGUGAGUAGGUCGGCUUUCCGAACGACCCGUCUUGAAACACGGACCAAGGAGUCUAAUUAGGCAUCGAGUCGAUCGGUCUUGAAUAGGCCAGACUUGGGGAUUCGUUCCUCAGAUUGAAGGCAUAGAGAAAUCAAAUCAUGUGAUCAUGGGAACAAUACCAGUUCUUAUGCGCAACAUGUGCCUGUUCGUAUAACAAUGUUGCAAAACUUGUUGAGCGGAGCAAAGAGAUACCUGAUUGGUACCCGAAAGAUGGUGAACUAUGCUUGGGCAAGUUGAAGCCAGAGGAAACUCUGGUGGAGGACUGUAGCGAUUCUGACGUGCAAAUCGAUCGUCAGACCUGAGUAUAGGGGCGAAAGACUAAUCGAACCAUC
Molecule: ribosomal RNA, 922 nt
Filed under: Neovittacus shitaicus
Lineage: Eukaryota; Metazoa; Arthropoda; Arachnida; Trombidiformes; Eriophyidae
Description: eukaryotic LSU rRNA
Rfam family: Eukaryotic large subunit ribosomal RNA
Source: RNAcentral